This 479-nucleotide ribosomal RNA is filed under the name Discosia sp. RNAcentral's name for it is "eukaryotic LSU rRNA". The stretch from base 125 to 278 matches the Rfam family "5.8S ribosomal RNA". The record is from RNAcentral. Lineage: Eukaryota; Fungi; Ascomycota; Sordariomycetes; Amphisphaeriales; Sporocadaceae.
ACCUACCCUGGAGCGAGCUACCCUGUAGCUACCCUGGAGCGGGCUACCCUGUAACGUUUUGCCGGUGGACCAUUAAACUCUUGUUAUUAUAUUGUAAUCUGAGCGUCUUAUUUUAAUAAGUCAAAACUUUCAACAACGGAUCUCUUGGUUCUGGCAUCGAUGAAGAACGCAGCGAAAUGCGAUAAGUAAUGUGAAUUGCAGAAUUCAGUGAAUCAUCGAAUCUUUGAACGCACAUUGCGCCCAUUAGUAUUCUAGUGGGCAUGCCUGUUCGAGCGUCAUUUCAACCCUUAAGCCUAGCUUAGUAUUGGGAGCUUAUUUGUCAAAGAAUAACUCCUCAAAUUCAACGGCGGAUCUGUGGUAUCCUCUGAGCGUAGUAAUUUUUAUCUCGCUUUUGUUAGGUGCUGCAGCUCCCAGCCGCUAAACCCCCCAAUUUUUAAUGGUUGACCUCGGAUCAGGUAGGAAUACCCGCUGAACUUAAG